CAGUAGCCGCGGGAAAACGUAGGUGGCAAGCGUUGUCCGGAAUUAUUGGGCGUAAAGCGCGCGCAGGUGGUUUAAUAAGUCUGAUGUGAAAGCCCACGGCUCAACCGUGGAGGGUCAUUGGAAGCUGUUAAACUUGAGUGCAGGAGAGAAAAGUGGAAUUCCUAGUGUAGCGGUGAAAUGCGUAGAGAUUAGGAGGAACACCAGUGGCGAAGGCGGCUUUUUGGCCUGUAACUGACACUGAGGCGCGAAAGCGUGGGGAGCAAACAGGAUUAGAUACCCCAGUAGUCCCUGUCUCUUAUAC
This 301-nucleotide ribosomal RNA is filed under the name uncultured bacterium. RNAcentral describes it as "partial 16S ribosomal RNA". It matches the Rfam family "Bacterial small subunit ribosomal RNA", at positions 509 to 807 of the family's 1533-position model. The record is from RNAcentral.